This 249-nucleotide ribosomal RNA is filed under the name uncultured bacterium. Its description in RNAcentral is "partial 16S ribosomal RNA". It matches the Rfam family "Bacterial small subunit ribosomal RNA", at positions 524 to 776 of the family's 1533-position model. The record is from RNAcentral.
UACGUAGGGGGCAAGCGUUGUCCGGGAAUCAUUGGGCGUAAAGAAGCGCGUAGGCGGUCCAGUAAGUCCGCUCUGAAAGUCCGGGGCUCAACCCCGGGAGCGGGCGGAUACUGCUGGGCUAGAGUCCGGAAGAGGCGAGUGGAAUUCCUGGUGUAGCGGUGAAAUGCGCAGAUAUCAGGAGGAACACCAUAGCGAAGGCACCGCGCCUGGCGACUGACGCUGAGUGCGAAAGCGUGGGGAGCAAACAGG